Molecule: ribosomal RNA, 351 nt
Filed under: uncultured bacterium
Lineage: Bacteria
Description: bacterial SSU rRNA
Rfam family: Bacterial small subunit ribosomal RNA
Source: RNAcentral
GGGCCCGCACAAGCGGUGGAGCAUGUGGUUUAAUUCGAUGAUACGCGAGGAACCUUACCAGGGUUUAAAUGCAGAACGACAGGGGUGGAAACACCCCCUUCUUCGGACGGACUGCAAGGUGCUGCAUGGUUGUCGUCAGCUCGUGCUGUGAAGUGUCGGGUUAAGUCCCAUAACGAGCGCAACCCCCAUUUCUAGUUGCCAGCGGUUCGGCCGGGGACUCUAGAGAAACUGCCAGCGUAAGCUGUGAGGAAGGUGGGGAUGACGUCAAAUCAUCACGGCCCUUACAUCCUGGGCCACACACGUGCUACAAUGGUGGGGACAACAGGAAGCAAGACUGCGAAGUUAAGCAAA